AUGGCCGGCCAUCGCAGCUGCUCCUCUUGCUCCCGUGGCCCUAAGCCAAGCGAUUGGAAGAAGUGUUCCAUCCCCCACAGCCAAUUAGUAGAGUUACAAACCCAGGGGUUUCUCCCUCCAGCGUAUAUGGUCCCCGUUCGAGCCGGACUUGCCACUUACAAUGGCGAGGAGAAAGCGGAGAGCUUUCCCAACCCAUCCAUGGGGGAGCGGGUAUGCCUUGUCCCUUACUUAUUGAGGGGGCUUGGAUUUCCAAUUCAUCCGUUCCUCCACGGGCUCCUGGAGUUCUACGGCCUCCAGCUGCAUAACUUUACUCCAGCCUCCAUAUUGCACAUCGCUGGCUACGUUGCCCUCCGCGAGCUGUUUUUGGGCAGCGAAGCUCAUCUUGAGCUAUGGAAGAGGCUAUUCUGCCUCGUACCCCGUAGAUAG
This 426-nucleotide ribosomal RNA is filed under the name Triticum aestivum (bread wheat). RNAcentral describes it as "partial small subunit ribosomal RNA". The record is from RNAcentral. Lineage: Eukaryota; Viridiplantae; Streptophyta; Magnoliopsida; Poales; Poaceae.